This 397-nucleotide ribosomal RNA is filed under the name uncultured bacterium. Its description in RNAcentral is "partial 16S ribosomal RNA". It matches the Rfam family "Bacterial small subunit ribosomal RNA", at positions 523 to 918 of the family's 1533-position model. The record is from RNAcentral.
AUACGUAGGGGGCGAGUGUUGUCCGGAAUGAUUGGGCGUAAAGGGCGCGUAGGCGGCGCGGUAAGUCUGGAGUGAAAGUCCUGCUUUCAAGGUGGGAAUUGCUUUGGAUACUGCCGCGCUUGAGUGCAGGAGAGGUUAUCGGAAUUCCCGGUGUAGCGGUGAAAUGCGUAGAGGUCGGGAGGAACACCAGUGGCGAAGGCGGGUAACUGGACUGCAACUGACGCUGAGGCGCGAAAGUGUGGGGAGCAAACAGGAUUAGAUACCCUGGUAGUCCACACUGUAAACGAUGAAUGCUAGGUGUAAGAGGUAUCGACCCCUUUUCUGCCGGAGUCAACACAAUAAGCAUUCCGCCUGGGGAGUACGGCCGCAAGGUUGAAACUCAAAUGAAUUGACGGGG